Long non-coding RNA from Paramacrobiotus metropolitanus, 1580 nucleotides. RefSeq lists it as uncharacterized. The record is from RefSeq and is a predicted model, not a curated record. Lineage: Eukaryota; Metazoa; Tardigrada; Eutardigrada; Parachela; Macrobiotidae. The transcript is spliced from 4 exons.
AAACAGUAACGAUUUUAGUGCCGUCAUUAAAGUUUUUUCGUCAUCUUAAUCAGUGAUUACAUUAUUAAAAUUUUUCACUGGCAUUUGUAGAAUGAGAGCCUAGCCAAUUCACUGGAGCGGAUUCUAGCCUUUGGUAAGCCAUCGUCCAGCAAUCAUGUCAUAGUGAGCCACCACUUAAAUCGUAUUUCUGCCAUGGAGCCUCAAGUAACUCUAGCUGGCCUGCCUGUCGAUCGUGACCGCGUUGUCGGAAUAAUUUGUGGCGUGUUUGGCUAUGUUUUGGUCUUAGCGGAACUGAGCGACAAGCAUCGGUAGAACUCACCAAUAGAGCAUCGAAAUGACAACGACAGAUGUCAUCAUGAAAAUGUGCAUCAAGUGUUUGUAUAUCUGCGUCAAACAGAGCCGCAUAAAUUAUUACCUCAGUUAAUUUACAAAAUGUUAUGAUGCUGUGUUUUAACGGUAACAUAUUAUUCGUAUGUGUUCCGCUACAUUGUUUUAAAUUUUCGAUUGUCUGGUUAUCGUUGCCAAAGACUUAAGUGUUUGACCAAAUGGCCACCUAAAGGACCGCUCAAUGUCAGCCCCGCCUAUGCUGGCGAAUAACGUCACUCUUCUGAGCUACGACUAUGCCAAAACUCGAAACAGAAUAUCAGGUAUAUCUGAGAUUCCCAAGCCGGAUCAAUAAAAUCCGUGGACCAUAAACAGUCAGAAUUGUCAGCGGCACCAGGAGACCUUAGGCACAAGUGGCCAUUCGCUCGAAAUCCCAGCUCGGCGCCUACGAAAAUAAUUGGCUAUAUUGUGUUGAUACACAGAAAAUCAGAACGAUGAAAAUCUCAGUGCCUGACCUGCGGCUAAAGGUGUUGCCCAUCUGGCGACCGUUGUUGGGAAAUGAUACACCGCAAGACGGCCGUCGUCUUGCAUUUUGAGAAGCGACCGGCAGUCACCCACUCCAGUGUACGAGGUCCAAAUAACCUGCAGUCACUCGUUGUGGCUAGAUGGAUAAACCUUCGGGUUUUGAAAGAUAGUCUACAUCGAGCGCGGUUUGGACUUAGAUGGGUGACCACUCUGAGUUCAGGCUGCGAGUGCACGGCCCGCAAGGCCUGUGUGCGAAGUGCUUGGCUGAGGCAGCAUUACCACCAAGGAGACGGGCACGGGAGAUGGAGGAUCACAAUACCACCCUGGCUACUCAGUGACGGCUUGGACUGAAAGGCCUGUGAUGUCCGCAGCACCAAUCGUGCCAAAUGGAAGGAGACAGGGAGAUCAGUCGAAGCAGAGGAUUGGCGCCUUCCCUAGAGAUGUGCUUGCUGUCUACCUGUUUAGAAUUCUCUUAGUCUGGUUCUGUUGAACGUCUUGCUCUGCCCGAGCCGGUUAGCGCCAUUGCGCGUUAAAAUAAAAGCUGGCGCUCGCGUUUGCGAGCUGCUGCAUACGAUCUGUCUGUUGCAGUGUUAUAGCCUCCAUUGUAACGCUGCGUGAAUGAAUUACCGUACUUUGCACAGAAUGUUCUGUCUGUCACCUGAUUAAUGCAUUGCUGAACAUGUAAACCGAGCCGUUUUCGAAACAACUAGCCGCAUAAAGCAAUCGCAAAG